RNAcentral lists this ribosomal RNA (534 nucleotides) under uncultured bacterium. Its description in RNAcentral is "partial 16S ribosomal RNA". It matches the Rfam family "Bacterial small subunit ribosomal RNA", at positions 355 to 882 of the family's 1533-position model. The record is from RNAcentral.
UGGGGAAUUUUGGACAAUGGGCGCAAGCCUGAUCCAGCCAUGCCGCGUGCAGGAAGAAGGCCUUCGGGUUGUAAACUGCUUUUGUCAGGGAAGAAAUCCUUUGGGCUAAUACCCCGGAGGGAUGACGGUACCUGAAGAAUAAGCACCGGCUAACUACGUGCCAGCAGCCGCGGUAAUACGUAGGGUGCGAGCGUUAAAUCGGAAUUACUGGGCGUAAAGCGUGCGCAGGCGGCUUUGCAAGACAGAUGUGAAAUCCCCGGGCUCAACCUGGGAACUGCAUUUGUGACUGCAAGGCUAGAGUGCGGCAGAGGGAGAUGGAAUUCCGCGUGUAGCAGUGAAAUGCGUAGAUAUGCGGAGGAACACCGUGGCGAAGGCAAUCUCCCGGGCCUGCACUGACGCUCAUGCACGAAAGCGUGGGGAGCAAACAGGAUUAGAUACCCUGGUAGUCCACGCCCUAAACGAUGUCAACUGGUUGUUGGACGGCUUGCUGUUCAGUAACGAAGCUAACGCGUGAAGUUGACCGCCUGGGGAGUA